GAGUUUGAUCCUGGCUCAGGAUGAACGCUGGCGGCGUGCCUAAUACAUGCAAGUCGAGCGAACAGAUAAGGAGCUUGCUCCUUUGAAGUUAGCGGCGGACGGGUGAGUAACACGUGGGUAACCUACCUAUAAGACUGGGAUAACUUCGGGAAACCGGAGCUAAUACCGGAUAAUAUUUAGAACCGCAUGGUUCUAAAGUGAAAGAUGGUUUUGCUAUCACUUAUAGAUGGACCCGCGCCGUAUUAGCUAGUUGGUAAGGUAACGGCUUACCAAGGCGACGAUACGUAGCCGACCUGAGAGGGUGAUCGGCCACACUGGAACUGAGACACGGUCCAGACUCCUACGGGAGGCAGCAGUAGGGAAUCUUCCGCAAUGGGCGAAAGCCUGACGGAGCAACGCCGCGUGAGUGAUGAAGGGUUUCGGCUCGUAAAACUCUGUUAUUAGGGAAGAACAAAUGUGUAAGUAACUGUGCACAUCUUGACGGUACCUAAUCAGAAAGCCACGGCUAACUACGUGCCAGCAGCCGCGGUAAUACG
This 536-nucleotide ribosomal RNA is filed under the name uncultured bacterium. Its description in RNAcentral is "bacterial SSU rRNA". It matches the Rfam family "Bacterial small subunit ribosomal RNA", at positions 9 to 527 of the family's 1533-position model. The record is from RNAcentral.